This 512-nucleotide ribosomal RNA is filed under the name Fusarium fusarioides. RNAcentral describes it as "eukaryotic LSU rRNA". The stretch from base 125 to 274 matches the Rfam family "5.8S ribosomal RNA". The record is from RNAcentral. Lineage: Eukaryota; Fungi; Ascomycota; Sordariomycetes; Hypocreales; Nectriaceae.
UACCUAUAACGUUGCCGUGGCGGAAGAGACAGCCCCCGGCACGGGCCGCCGGGCCGAGGCCGCCAGAGGACGUUCUAACACUGUUUCUAUAAUGUACCAUCUGAGUAUCAAGCUUUUAACUCCGGACUUUCGGCACCGGCUCUCUUGACUAAGCCAUCGAUGCAGAACGUAGCGUGAAGUGACAAGUUAUGGGAAUAGCAGAAUUUGAGGCCCAUGGACCCCCUGUACGCCGUGGCGCGCGCUGUAACUGGCUAGCCUGCCGCCCCGAGCGUCGUUUCGGAAUGAGGCAACCGCGCCCUGGCGUAAGCGCAUCCGCGGAAGCAUGCUGCGCGCCCAACGCUGUCCCCUAAUUAAGUAGACGGUCCCGCCGCAGCUUCAUUGCGUCGCGCCUACAACAUCGCAACUGGAGAGCGGCGCGGCCACGCGGUGAAGCACCCACUUACUGAAUGUUGACCUUCGAAUGAGGAGAGAAUACCCGCUGAACUUAGCAUUUCAAUAUAGCGAAGGAAAGU